Molecule: transfer RNA, 75 nt
Filed under: Alphaproteobacteria bacterium CG11_big_fil_rev_8_21_14_0_20_44_7
Lineage: Bacteria; Pseudomonadati; Pseudomonadota; Alphaproteobacteria
Also listed under: 2 other names
Description: tRNA-Glu
Rfam family: tRNA
About the family: Transfer RNA (tRNA) molecules are approximately 80 nucleotides in length.
Source: RNAcentral
GACCCCUUCGUCUAGCGGUUAGGACACCACCCUUUCACGGUGGGAACACGGGUUCGAUUCCCGUAGGGGUCGCCA